CCUACGGGAGGCAGCAGUGAGGAAUAUUGGACAAUGGGCGCAAGCCUGAUCCAGCCAUGCCGCGUGCAGGAAGACGGUCCUAUGGAUUGUAAACUGCUUUUGUACGGGAAGAAACACUCCUUCGUGAAGGAGCUUGACGGUACCGUAAGAAUAAGGAUCGGCUAACUCCGUGCCAGCAGCCGCGGUAAUACGGAGGAUCCAAGCGUUAUCCGGAAUCAUUGGGUUUAAAGGGUCCGUAGGCGGUUUAGUAAGUCAGUGGUGAAAGCCCAUCGCUCAACGGUGGAACGGCCAUUGAUACUGCUAGACCUGAAUUAUUAGGAAGUAACUAGAAUAUGUAGUGUAGCGGUGAAAUGCUUAGAGAUUACAUGGAAUACCAAUUGCGAAGGCAGGUUACUACUAAUGGAUUGACGCUGAUGGACGAAAGCGUGGGUAGCGAACAGGAUUAGAUACCCUGGUAGUCCACGCCGUAAACGAUGGAUACUAGCUGUUGGGCGCAAGUUCAGUGGCUAAGCGAAAGUGAUAAGUAUCCCACCUGGGGAGUACGUUCGCAAGAAUGAAACUCAAAUGAAAUUGACGGCUGAGAGAGCGAGACGACGACGAGGGAGGAGG
This 609-nucleotide ribosomal RNA is filed under the name uncultured bacterium. RNAcentral's name for it is "bacterial SSU rRNA". It matches the Rfam family "Bacterial small subunit ribosomal RNA", at positions 338 to 948 of the family's 1533-position model. The record is from RNAcentral.